This 2590-nucleotide long non-coding RNA is filed under the name Panax ginseng (ginseng). RNAcentral describes it as "long non-coding RNA (PGIN_LNC011899)". Lineage: Eukaryota; Viridiplantae; Streptophyta; Magnoliopsida; Apiales; Araliaceae. The record is from RNAcentral.
AUCAAUCGUACGAAGAAAAUAAUAUUAUAAAAAGAAAAAAAAAUUAAUUCAAAUAUAUUAAUAUGUAAUAUUACAAAAAGAAUUUGUAGUGUUACAAUGAUCCAUGACAAUCAUAAUUCGACAAGCCAAAUCUAAUAUUGAAAUCACACUGCCAGGUUGCAUGAGUAAUGAAAUCAGCAAAUAGAUUUCCUUGCACUUUGGCGAGGAACUUGCAGCCUUUACAAGAUUUUCUUUAGCAUGCAUUCUGCAUCAGUGAAACAACUCUUUAUGUCAAAAUACAACAAAAGAAUCAAACUUGGAUAAAGGACCAGUUUAAAAGUAUAUGUUGCACAACAUGAUUUGAUUUUUCCGAUUGGAUUUGAGAAAGUUUAUGUUUAUUUGCCUAGAACAAAUAAAUGGCAAUGAGACCAUCUUUGAACUGAUCAAUUAUUGGGUAACAUUUAGGAAGUUUAUUAUGGAUCAUAACAGUAAGGAUUCAACAAAUAUUUAUUUGCCUAAAAAAGAGUAAGGGGUGGGAGAUUUGUGAACAGGAACAGUAGCAGAUUGUGCAAAAACUGCCUACACUCACUCCCAGAUUGUGCAGGAGGAUCAGUAGCAUCCCCAAACGCAGAGCUCUCAGGCCAAUGCAUCAAAUACAAAACCAAGUAAGAUACCCCAAGGUUCUUAAGAGAUACUCUAACAGAUUUUCAAUCUUAUUAAUAGAUUUCACAGUACAAUACAACUUAAGAGGUCAAAAAAGAUCCUCCCUCUUCAAUGAACCUUUCAUAUUUUGACUAAUGCUUCCCCAACUUCAACCUCAUUCCCAUAAAGAUGUGCACAAUCUAUGUGACAAUUUCAAAAUGCAAACAAAGAAAUCUUUAAACCAAAUCCAAUAGGAAAAAACAGGUAAAAAAAUCAAACAGGUAAACAAAAAAAGGUAACCCAAAUAUACGAAAUGACCAAACAGGUUAAAAAAAAAAAGAUGAACAACAAUUUCAUCCUAAAAAAAAAGGUAACCCAAAUAUACGAAAUGACCCAACAAUUUCAUCCCUUUAAACUUCUUGAGAUGAACAAACAGGUAAAAAAAAAGGAUUAUACGAAAUGAACCAGUAACACAAGUAUCACAGCAAAGCAGACUUUAGACCAAAUCCAAUCGGAAAAAUCAAAUCUUGGAUGCCCAACUUGGGAAAGUGAUAUCAAAGACGAUAACAAACUUGGGAAAGUGAUAUUUAUUUUUAGUCAAGAAAUGAUCUUAUGGGAAUAUAACUCUUUUUACCCUAGGGACAUGAUUAAAUAUAUAAAACAAGGCAGUGUACCAUCAUAGCAAUCCGCAUGUAGCGCAAGGUUUAAAAAAAGUAAUCCGCAUGUAGCACAAUGCAAUAAGAACAUCUAGACCAGUUAUGCAUUUGUUAGUGUGCAAGGUUUAAAAAAAGUAAGUACACUGUAAUUUUUAUUAUACCAAAGCUCAACGAGGAAAAUAAAAAAGUAGCAACCUCAAUCUUUAAGACAGUCUAUAUAUCAGUAAAUAUGUCGAACACCUUCAUAACAUUAAUAAAUAUAUGGACCAACCUAUGAAACUUGAGCCAAAUAACAAAGGUUAAUGUAAAUACAAGAUGCCAAACAAAUACCCCUCCACUAUAACACUGUACCUUAACAGAGACCAGCUAGCUAGUAUAACCAGAUUGCCUACGUAGUGAAGAAUUGCAACAUUUAUCUUUCUAAUCUUUUGGAUAAUGUAAAUAAAAGACUUCUCAAUUACCUCUUUCUGUGAUAAUUCCAGCAAUUAACUUUUGCUCCCCAGGUCUCACCAUUGCAUAUAUGUGGUUGCCUGUGUAUGUAUAAAAUAAUGUAUUGAUAUAAAAGAAGUAGUUUCAUAAUUAAAAUCACAAAUGCCACAUAGAUGCAAAAUAAGAAAACUGAUCCACCUCCCGAAAAUGCAUAAACUUCAUAUAAAAGUCAAUUACAACACUAGUUCAUAUUUCAAAAAAUACUACAGAUUCACAAAAACUAAGCUCCAAACCAUUUGCUUGAUUAAAUUAGGCAAAUAUAAAUCUAACAAAGAAAAAAGAUGGGCAUUUUAAUAUAUAUUCCUUUGUUCAAGACAGAUACAAAAGCAAGAAUACCUGGUCAAUCGCAUGAGGGUUUGACGAUUUGACAGAGGAAUCGCUCGAAAAAGGAGAGAGGCUCGCAAUCGUUUAGAAAUCGCAGCAGGGUUUGAUUUUCAUAGCAGGAGGGAGGGUUUAGUUGAAAUCACAGCAGAAAUCGCAACAGUCGUAGCAGGGUUUAGGAAUUGAAGUCGCAGCAGUAGCAGAAGGGUUUAGGAAUCGAAUUCGAAGGAGAAAAUCGAGAAAGGGAGGGUUUAUUUGAAACCGCAAGACGAAAUCGAAGCAGUCGAAGCAUAGUUUAGGAAUCGAAAUCGCAGCAAUCGAAGGAGAAAAUUGAAGGAGAGGGAAAUCGAAGGAGGGGCAGUCGCAGAAGGAAAAUCGUAGGAGAUUCGAAGGAGGGGCUCGUACGCCAAUUGAACUAUCAGACAACAGUCGGGGGCAAUUUGGGAUGAAUUAUUUUUUUUCAUCUUCGAUUAGUUCAAGUAGCGGACGACGGCUUACCGUAU